This 492-nucleotide ribosomal RNA is filed under the name uncultured bacterium. Its description in RNAcentral is "partial 16S ribosomal RNA". It matches the Rfam family "Bacterial small subunit ribosomal RNA", at positions 30 to 507 of the family's 1533-position model. The record is from RNAcentral.
AGUGAACGCUGGCGGUAGGCCUAACACAUGCAAGUCGAACGGCAGCACAGUAAGAGCUUGCUCUUACGGGUGGCGAGUGGCGGGCGGGUGAGGAAUACAUCGGAAUCUACUUUUUCGUGGGGGAUAACGUAGGGAAACUUACGCUAAUACCGCAUACGACCUACGGGUGAAAGCAGGGGAUCUUCGGACCUUGCGCGAUUGAAUGAGCCGAUGUCGGAUUAGCUAGUUGGCGGGGUAAAGGCCCACCAAGGCGAGGAUCCGUAGCUGGUGUGAGAGGAUGGUAGGCCGCCUUGGAGGUUGGACACGGUCCAGAGUCCUACGAGAGGGAGCAGUGGGCAAUGUUGGGCAAUGGGCGCGAGCCUGACACAGUCAGCGCGCGUGGGUUGAGGAGGCCCCGGGUGCGGAAAGCCCGUUUGUUGGUAAAGAACAGCAGUCGGUUGAGACGCCGCGGUUGUGACGGUACUGGGUAAAGAAGCACCGGCUAACUUCGUG